UUGUUGUGACGAGACAAAGAACCGAGGAACAUACACUCGGCGUGACAUCUAUGGUGCUGUGACUCGGAUUUAACCUGGCUGAAACAACCUCCGCGCGGAAGAGGCCAAGCACAGCAGGAGCCCAAUUCAGCGAAGCUCCCGCGCUAGAAGCAGAAGGCGAAGAAACCCAGCGCAGGGGAAGGCCCAUCGUGCUGGAAACCGGGACAGUGAAAAACGAACUCAGCAGAAAGCUCACGCAGCCCAGUCUCAGAUUCCAGAAGACCUCCAGUUAAGGGAUCGCGUGCCGGAUUCCAGCUCCAGCAGCCAGGGAUUCAACCUGAAGAGAUGGAUGGUGUUGGCGAUGAUGAUGUAGCCUCUGACUCUUACUACGGAACUACAUGUUUAUUUCAAGCUUCAGGUUCUCUUUUAUACUUUGACAAAAGCAUUAGGUCAGAGGUUUGACAUUUUUAGUUUCCCCCACCCACAUUUACUGUACUUAACUUGUGAUUACAUUGUAACUCAUGCUACA
Molecule: long non-coding RNA, 508 nt
Organism: Bubalus bubalis (water buffalo)
Lineage: Eukaryota; Metazoa; Chordata; Mammalia; Artiodactyla; Bovidae
Exons: 2
Source: RefSeq, a predicted model, not a curated record